This 735-nucleotide long non-coding RNA is filed under the name Capsicum annuum. RNAcentral's name for it is "long non-coding RNA (CANN_LNC018695)". The record is from RNAcentral. Lineage: Eukaryota; Viridiplantae; Streptophyta; Magnoliopsida; Solanales; Solanaceae.
GAUAGGGCAAUUAAAAAAGAGAGACACUAGGCUAGCCAUAUACUAAUUAACAAGUAUGAUAAAUGACCAAUAUAAAAUUGAUCACCACCAAAGGCUGAUGUAGAGUAGUGAUAUCGAAGUUAUCGAAAUUUAAUAUUCUUAAUACGAAAUAUAAAUUUAAAUAUAAAAAUUAUAACAAAUAAUAGAUAGCCAUAUUUUAUAAACUUUAAAUAUUGAAAUCAUAACAUUAAAAUAAUUAAAAUUCUGAAUUCAACUCUGAUCACCACCAUCCAUGAACCACAUGAUUGCAAGUAUCCUUGAUCCACCUAAAGCUCUUUCUGAAUGAACCCUUCAUUUUACCCUCCAUAGCAUAAGCUUUAUAUCCAACUACUCUUGUCUUUCUUUGCAAUUCAAGAUCAUCCAAUAUUUUCCAACUUUUUGAAGAAGAGGACAUCACUUUGCUCUUGUUAUUGCUCUUCUUGAUCUUCACUUCCUUAUUAUUGUAAUAAUAAUCCAUAGAAGAAUAAGGAACAUGUGAAUUAGCACUAUAACUCCUCAAAUCUUGCAUAUUUGUCGGUGCUAACUUUUGCCUCCUUCCAUCUUCCCUUGUUGACAUUGAUCUAAAAUUCUCCAUUAGGAAUAGUGAUGAAAAUUGAGAACUUUGAUUUUUUGUAAGGUUUGGGUUUAGAGGAAGAGGGAGUAAAAAGAGAGGAUUAUAUUAUUAGGAGUGCUUCAAUGCUACGAUUUGGAGUAACU